This 70-nucleotide transfer RNA is filed under the name Ictidomys tridecemlineatus (thirteen-lined ground squirrel). RNAcentral's name for it is "Spermophilus tridecemlineatus (thirteen-lined ground squirrel) tRNA". It matches the Rfam family "tRNA". From Rfam's summary of the family: Transfer RNA (tRNA) molecules are approximately 80 nucleotides in length. Their secondary structure includes four short double-helical elements and three loops (D, anti-codon, and T loops). The record is from Rfam by way of RNAcentral. Lineage: Eukaryota; Metazoa; Chordata; Mammalia; Rodentia; Sciuridae.
GGGGAUAUAGCUCAGUGAUAGAGCACUUAUCUAGCAUGCUAGAAAUCCUGGGUUCUAUCCCCAGCACCCA